This 175-nucleotide ribosomal RNA is filed under the name unidentified bacterium U63032. RNAcentral's name for it is "partial 16S ribosomal RNA". It matches the Rfam family "Bacterial small subunit ribosomal RNA", at positions 111 to 278 of the family's 1533-position model. The record is from RNAcentral.
AGCUAACACGUGGAUAAUCAACCUAUUGCUCUGGAAUACCCCGGGGAAACUCGGAUCAAUGCCAGAUAAAGUGCGAGCUGCAGGGUGCCGUACCAAAGAUAGCUUCGGCCUUCGGCGAGAGACGAGUCCGCGGCCCAUUAGCUAGUUGGCGGGUCAAUGGCCCACCAAGCCUACA